UUUUCUACAUCAUUGUAUGAAAAUAAAGUUAAAACAUUAUUACUUUCCUAAUAAUUUUCGAAAGUUUUAUUUAUCAAAAUAAAGUUUAUAAAUUACAAAAUAUUAAAUACUAAUAAUUAUUAUUAUUACCUAUUGCAUUGUAGCCUUUCAGUAGUUUAAGACAAUAGGUAUUAGUUCUAAAUACAUUACGCUAGAAUAGAGUUGUAGCCUUUCAAUUUUCUACCAAAAUCCCAUUAACACAUCUAUAGUGUUUUAGCGAGAGAAAGAAAAAGAAAGAGAAAGAUAAAGAGUGAGAGAAAGGAAAAAGAACUUAUAGAUCGAUGUCUCAAAAAGAGGAGAGAGGAGCACACCGGCGAUGACAGAGAUUGUUACUUGCUUGUCACAGUUUCAGAAUGAGUUCAAUAAACAAGUGAAGACAGCCAACGGGUAAAGGGGAAGAGGAGAGGGUGUGUUGAUCAUUUCAAAGACGGCGUCAAUAUUUUCUCUUCAAAUGUCCGAUCCAGUUGAUUACUCCGGCUGUGCCGAUUUUUACUAGUACUUUCGAUAGCAAGGGGAAGAGCUCGGGAUGACUGCAGUGCACACACCAUCGUUUUAGCGUGGGAUGUUUUUACUCUGAUAUGUUUUGACAUAUGUUUAUGACAUUUGGAGAUACAUGACUUAUGAUUUUUAUAUGAUGAGUUAUUUAUGGGUUAUUUAAUGAUUUAAAAUAAAAUUUUUGGACUGUGAAUUUGGGGA
Lactuca sativa (garden lettuce) is the source of this 735-nucleotide long non-coding RNA. RefSeq lists it as uncharacterized. Lineage: Eukaryota; Viridiplantae; Streptophyta; Magnoliopsida; Asterales; Asteraceae. The record is from RefSeq and is a predicted model, not a curated record.